Molecule: long non-coding RNA, 1785 nt
Organism: Rhineura floridana
Lineage: Eukaryota; Metazoa; Chordata; Lepidosauria; Squamata; Rhineuridae
Exons: 6
Source: RefSeq, a predicted model, not a curated record
CUGGAGGCUGCCAUGCAAAUCUGACGUUUCAAUCCCCGUGAGCCUCCGAGGCUGGGUAAGGGGUGGAGUCUGCGGAAGCAAAGCUUCAACGCCAAGUGACGUCAUGGCGGCGCCCAUUCAUACUCUUGGCGGAAGAGGUGGGCUGCAGCGACGGAGGUUUUUGAUCCUGGGACGGAACGACUGAGAUCACUGCUGCAAGUCCGGCUCUUUGAUGCGUUUCUGUUGAGACUGUUGUUUGCAUUUUCCUUCAGGCAUUCUUGUUACAUUCUUAGCUGUCCAACUAGAUGGCCUAGGAUUGCCCAAGGAAAGCAUGGUCUGGGGAGGUAUUAUCUGUUGCUUGUAAACCGCCUUGAGAAUCAUUUGGCUGGAGCUCCAUUAUAAAAUAAGUUAGGAAGAGAGAUGGAGUGAUAUUUGACUAAAUCAAAUCUUGAAUAGACCCAAUGAAAUCAAUGGACUUUCAGUGGAUCUGCUUGCUUCUUCCAAAUACCAUCCUCCAAAGUCAACAUGCAGGGGAGAAUCCCAAAUAUGUUUGGGGCUGAGAACGUUUUUUGCGCCAUGGCCAGAUCUUUAUCUCCAUCCACCCACCCAUGUGGGCCAACUUUCAUAAUGACAUCAGGUGAUUGACAGGCAGCAACAGCAUCACUGAGGGAUGGAGGAUCAAUAUUGUGUGGUCUCCACAAUCAGAACCAGCAGGAUAUAGCUGACUUCUCUUGGGAAAAGCUCAAGGCAGCUAGGUACCAUGUUUGAACUGUAUUCAGGCAGACCAGGCACUUUGGUUGGCUUCAGUUCCUUUUUGCGGACACACAAUGCAUUGCACCAAGCGGCGUUUUAAAAAGCAGCAUGACCUGUUCAAAAGCAUGGAUUUUGAUCACCUGAACUACACAAACUCCUUUCUUAUCCCGUUGCACCACCACACCACUCUGCCCUGCAAGCAUUUUUAAAAGUGGAUAUUGUGUGAAUAGAAGCAAGCAAUUACUUGCUCACUCUAUGUAGCUGCUUGUAAUCAUGGCUUGGAAACUGAUUGUCUGAAGACUUUAGCACACUGUAAAUUGAACCUUGCCGCAUACAGAAGGUAUGCAUAGGGAGCUGUAUAUUCUGUUGAAAGGGGCUGGAAAACCUGUGUGUCCAUAGCAGAAUACACAGCACUCUGGAUCCAAGCCCUCACCUUAAUUUAAAAUCUCCAAACGAAAUCUAUGUGACUUUCAUCUAUUAAAAAAAAACCAAAUUCAGGCUAUUUGAAUCUGAAUCAUAUGUUUUGAAGUUAAUAUUCACACACACACUGGUUUGACCCAGUGUGGAUUUGGUUGUUUUGUUUUGCAAUUGUUUAUGCAAACCAUUGGGAAAGAGGAAGGAACCUUGAAAAAUGUAAAUGAACUGGACUAAUAACUAACUUGAGCUUAAAUGUAACAGAUGGCUUAUUAUCAAGGAAGUUUCCUGAUCUCUUGCGAAGUCUGUACUUGUCAUGGUCUUAUCACACUGCUGUGGGUUUAUGAGGUACUGUCAAAGUUCAAAAACCAGUCUGUUUGCCACCUUGUUCAAAACUGUUUUCAAGUGGAAGAUUAAGGAACCAUAACUGCAGGAUACUGAGCUUUUCUUUCUCAGCCAGAAUGAAUGAGGCUGCACAGAGAUGGGUCUAAGGCAGGGGUGGCUUCCCUUUUUCAGGCCACAUUGACCCAUGGUCAACCCUCUGGGAUGGGGGCAUGUCAAAGUGAGCAUGGCCAAAGUGUAAAAGUGGGUAUAGUGAGAACUGAAGUUCUCAAUUCAGCCUUCCAAAAGUCUUUUCUA